AGAAUGAAUUCAUCUGCAUGGUAUAAUCUUGGUUUGGUUCAUAAAGCCGAGGGUAGUGCAUCCUCCUUCCAAUACGCAGCUGAAUGUUUCAAGGCUGCAGCCUUUCUUGAAGAGUCAGCACCAGUUGAACCUUUCAGAUGACCAUCACUACUGAGAAGUUCUGUUACUGAUUCUUUGGUAUUUUUUAUUUUUCAAGAGUUUUGUAUUUAUGUUGUAGCCUAUAACUCAAUAGGG
RNAcentral lists this unclassified non-coding RNA (234 nucleotides) under Hevea brasiliensis (rubber tree). The record is from RNAcentral. Lineage: Eukaryota; Viridiplantae; Streptophyta; Magnoliopsida; Malpighiales; Euphorbiaceae.